This 77-nucleotide transfer RNA is filed under the name Pseudomonadota bacterium. RNAcentral describes it as "Proteobacteria bacterium tRNA-Arg". It matches the Rfam family "tRNA". From Rfam's summary of the family: Transfer RNA (tRNA) molecules are approximately 80 nucleotides in length. Their secondary structure includes four short double-helical elements and three loops (D, anti-codon, and T loops). Further hydrogen bonds mediate the characteristic L-shaped molecular structure. tRNAs have two regions of fundamental functional importance: the anti-codon, which is responsible for specific mRNA codon recognition, and the 3' end, to which the tRNAs corresponding amino acid is attached (by aminoacyl-tRNA synthetases). tRNAs cope with the degeneracy of the genetic code in two manners: having more than one tRNA (with a specific anti-codon) for a particular amino acid; and 'wobble' base-pairing, i.e. permitting non-standard base-pairing at the 3rd anti-codon position. Lineage: Bacteria; Pseudomonadati; Pseudomonadota. The record is from RNAcentral.
GCGUCCAUAGCUCAGAUGGAUAGAGUACCUGGCUACGAACCAGGCGGUCGGAGGUUCGAAUCCUUCUGGACGCGCCA